GAUGUUGUAGUGUAACGGUUGAGCACGUGAACUUUACACGUUCAAGACCCAAGUUCGACUCUUGGCAACGUCA
Anaeramoeba ignava is the source of this 73-nucleotide non-coding RNA. The record is from the annotation of a GenBank genome assembly. NCBI's taxonomy places the organism in Eukaryota, Anaeramoebidae.